UGGGGUGGCAAGCGUUUUCCGGAAUUAUUGGGGGUAAAGCGUCCGUAGGGGGUUUUUCAAGUCCGUUGUGAAAGCCCGGGGCUUACCUCCGGACAGCCAGUGGAAASUGCGAAACUGGAGUGCGCAAGGGGGAAGGGGAAUUCCCGGUGUAGCGGUGAAAUGCGUAGAGAUUGGGAAGAACCCCGGUGGGGAAAGCGCUCUUCUGGGUCUUAACUGACACUGAGGGACGAAAGCCAGGGGAGCGAAAGGGAUUAGAUACCCCGGUAGUCC
This 270-nucleotide ribosomal RNA is filed under the name uncultured cyanobacterium. Its description in RNAcentral is "partial 16S ribosomal RNA". It matches the Rfam family "Bacterial small subunit ribosomal RNA", at positions 527 to 796 of the family's 1533-position model. Lineage: Bacteria; Bacillati; Cyanobacteriota. The record is from RNAcentral.